GUACUGUUCUAGCGAUUAUCACUCCAUUAGAAAAUUUGUGGAAGACAAAUUCAGAAGUCUAAAGCUUGGACUAGAACUAGCAGACAAGCUUGCAAGAAAUUUGGGUAAAACUGAAUAUGAGGGAGGAAAAUUAGGGAUUUGGACUCUUGAGAAAUUAUGGCAAUUAAAAAGAAAAAAUAAAAGAAAUAAAAAUAAUGUCUGCCCUUUUAAAAGAAAGAGCCCCAUUAAUGAUAAAUCAUUCCCAAGUUU
Molecule: long non-coding RNA, 249 nt
Filed under: Lathyrus oleraceus (garden pea)
Lineage: Eukaryota; Viridiplantae; Streptophyta; Magnoliopsida; Fabales; Fabaceae
Description: Pisum sativum (pea) long non-coding RNA (PSAT_LNC014464)
Source: RNAcentral